Molecule: long non-coding RNA, 829 nt
Filed under: Monodelphis domestica (gray short-tailed opossum)
Lineage: Eukaryota; Metazoa; Chordata; Mammalia; Didelphimorphia; Didelphidae
Description: lncRNA (ENSMODG00000037477.1)
Source: RNAcentral
CCAUUGGAACUUGAGCACUCUGGACAAGUCAAAUCUUAUGUACCUUUUUCUCUUCUUGGUUUCUCCUGUCCUAUCUAGGUGGCUCUCCGGUACCCCAGCCUCUGCUAUGGAAUGGAGGCCUCUCUUAGUCAUAUGAGAGUGUGAGUAGUGCAGGUCCCAUGUGAGUGACAGGGCAUAAGUCCUCUCCCUUCAUUCUGGAGUUCAGUGGAAGUCACAGCUUAGUUUUUCUGUCUCAGUUAAAGGCCAUCAUCAUACCUGCUUUUAAAUAUUUUUUUCAGAUUGACCUCUGUUUACACUCAAGGAUUUCUUUUGUUCUCUUCUACUGGUCAGAACAGUGAUCACAUAAUGGAACCAAUAAAAAUCUGGUUUGGGAUGGGUCAGAAUGCAAUACUAAGAUUUGGAUAGGUGAUGGACACAAGACUGCUCUUUAUAUCAACUGGUUUCUGUCCUACUUUUUUAGAGACUGCAGUAUUCUAUCUGGCCAGAAGACGCCAGUGAAUGGAUGUCCUGACUUCCUACCUGGCAAUGAAGUGGUCAAGAAAUGUUUUUCAAGCACCUACUAUGUGGACUUACGGGUCAAGAUGGCUCCAGAGUAAAAGCAAGACUCUACUUCUCCUCUCUACCAUUCCUCAAAACGACAAAACCAAAAUCAAAGAAGCGAAAGAGUUCCACAGUACGACAUAGCACAGAAGUAUCCUGGAGGGACACCAGAUGGAACCAAAAGACCAUGUUAUUUAGGUCAAUCAGUCAAAAAGUAAAACCUUAAUUUACAAUGAAAAAAGUUUUUAAAAAAAAUAAACAAUCUAAAUGACUACUUUCCUGACCCUGU